CGUCAAGAUGAUAAGGGCACACGGUGGAUGCCUUGGUACCAGGAGCCGAUGAAGGACGUGGACGGCUGCGAUAAGCCACGGUGAGGCGCUGAACAGCCUUUGACCCGUGGAUUUCCGAAUGGGGGAACCCGGCUGGGGUAAUGCCCAGUCAUCCGUAUCUGAACACAUAGGGUACGGAAGGUAAGCAGGCGAACUGACACAUCUAAGUAGCCUGAGGAAAGGAAAGAAACCUCGACUCCCUGAGUAGCGGCGAGCGAAACGGGAAUAGCCUAAACCACCCUUGCGUGAUUGCGUGCAGGCGUAGCAUGGGUGGAGUUGUAGGGCUGAUCUUGAGCCGACUGCAUGCGGUUCGGAGAGUUACAAACGAGUGGUAUAGCCGAACCGGUUGGGACGCCGGGCCACAGGGGGUUAGAGCCCCGUAGGCGAAAUGCUACUCACUCUCUUAAUCAGUACCUGAGUACCACCGGACACGUGAAAUCCGGUGGGAAUCUGCGGGGACCACCCCGCAAGGCUAAGUACUUCCUGGUGACCGAUAGUGGACUAGUACCGUGAGGGAAAGGUGAAAAGCACCCCGGGAGGGGAGUGAAAUAGUACCUGAAACCGU
This 604-nucleotide ribosomal RNA is filed under the name Deltaproteobacteria bacterium. RNAcentral describes it as "partial 23S ribosomal RNA". It matches the Rfam family "Bacterial large subunit ribosomal RNA", at positions 1 to 559 of the family's 2925-position model. Lineage: Bacteria; Pseudomonadati; Myxococcota; Myxococcia. The record is from RNAcentral.